RNAcentral lists this ribosomal RNA (207 nucleotides) under uncultured Syntrophus sp. RNAcentral describes it as "partial 16S ribosomal RNA". It matches the Rfam family "Bacterial small subunit ribosomal RNA", at positions 1174 to 1374 of the family's 1533-position model. The record is from RNAcentral. Lineage: Bacteria; Pseudomonadati; Thermodesulfobacteriota; Syntrophia; Syntrophales; Syntrophaceae.
GUGGGAUGACGUCAAGUCCUCAUGGCCUUUAUGCCCAGGGCUACACACGUGCUACAAUGGGUGGUACAAAGAGCAGCGAGCUUGCGAGAGUGAGCGAAUCUCAAAAAGCCAUCCUCAGUUCGGAUUGAAGUCUGCAACUCGACUUCAUGAAGUCGGAAUCGCUAGUAAUCGCGGAUCAGCAUGCCGCGGUGAAUACGUUCCGGCCUU